Molecule: long non-coding RNA, 351 nt
Organism: Esox lucius (northern pike)
Lineage: Eukaryota; Metazoa; Chordata; Actinopteri; Esociformes; Esocidae
Source: Ensembl
GUAAUGUAAAAUUGGCUUUAUUCCUGAUGAAAAUAUAUCACAUUCUUGAGGGCUGCUGCAUUUUUGUUUUGUACCGUUUUAACAGCUUCCCAGUAGACCAGCACAUGCCUCUGCCAUUUCCCCUGCAACUGCUCCUGCCCCCUCUGCUGCUCCUGCCUCCUCGGCUGCUCCUGGCACCCCGCGGCCCACCAUGAACUUAUCAAUGUUUACUAAAUCACGGUUUGGAGGUUCGCAAGGUGCCACAGCUAAGCCAAACGUGAAUGUGGUCAGGAAAGCUGUUCAACCCCCUUCCAGCCCUGCUACGGCCUCUGUGAGGACCACCUCCCCUUUCUCCCAGCCCCCUUCCAGCCC